Molecule: long non-coding RNA, 490 nt
Organism: Haliotis rubra (blacklip abalone)
Lineage: Eukaryota; Metazoa; Mollusca; Gastropoda; Lepetellida; Haliotidae
Exons: 4
Source: RefSeq, a predicted model, not a curated record
CGGGAUUCACAGCAACACCUCCCUGCUGUAUGCUACCAGAAAAUGCCGCAGAACUUUCAUGUGCUCCCUUUCUGACAACACCUCCAGCUGGGGUAUGUACAGACACUGUCACGAAAGUGGAGAGCUGCAUGGCCUACACAUGUGUGAUAGGGGCAUGGGUGCCAACAGGAUUCACAGCAACACCUCCCUGCUGUGUGCUACCAGAAAAUGCCGCAGAACUUUCAUGUGCUCCCUUUCUGACAACACCUCCAGCUGGGGUAUGUACAGACACUGUCACGAAAGUGGAGAGCUGCAUGGCCUACACAUGUGUGAUAGGGGCAUGGGUGCCAACGGGAUUCACAGCAACACCUCCCUGCUGUAUGCUACCAGAAAAUGCCGCAGAACUUUCAUGUGCUCCCUUUCUGACAACACCUCCAGCUGGGGUAUGUACAGACACUGUCACGAAAGUGGAGAGCUGCAUGGCCUACACAUGUGUGAUAGGGGCAUGGGU